UAAAAUGAGAGCGAGAGAAUUGGGUGAGCGAUUCCGAAGAGCGAAGAUGGUCGAUUCGUCGGCCACUGUAUUAAUAUUGAGGACUGGGUGUGUUGAUUUCUCGGUUCGUUCCGUCAUUCACUGUGCCGCCGCCGUCGUCGUUGCUGCGUUUAAGCCUUGUUAUUAUUGGCUGGUGAGAUCAUACACCUUUUUCUGUCUGGAGCAUUUUGAACCACACCAGAGGACACAUCGAAUAGAAGUGCUACUCCGGAUCUACCACUGAGUGCGUUCUGGGUCCAUUAGCCAUCUACGAACUCUUCACGUCUGUUGGAAUUGGAUUAAAUGCAAAGCCAUCAUCGAAUUUAACACAUCGGAACGCAAAUUGAAAUACCAUUUAAGGUAAUACAACCCGGUGACCUAGCUCGUUGGCCUAAAUUGACAACGCGAGUGCAAUCUGCUGCUUUUCUGGCGCUGCUGGAAAGUCUGUCCUAGUUAUGGGUGAAAUGCAAGCUUGCAAUAUUGCUGGUGCUGUUCGGUGAUAUAUUUCAGGAAGAAAAUUAACCAUCGAGAAUAUAUAUAUACGUAUGUGCAAAUGUGAAUUGCUGAGCUUCACAUUUUGUACCACGGAACGACUGCUUAAUAGAGAUAUGUGAUUUUCAUUAUUUGCUCGCCUGUCUGUGUUUGCAUCGGCUUUUGCGUUCAUGGUAUUCCUGCUUGCUUGUGGUGCGGAUGGUAUUCUAAUUUUGGUGCUAAAGAGAAGAAUUCAAUCACAUCUCCAAUCAUAGUAGGCCGAAUGUGCACAAAGGUUUUAGUCAUAACUUCACAUGAAUAUUCACCGAAUGCUAGGAAUAAGUGAAACCCCGAGCAGGCUUUGAGUGAGAGAAGUUGGCGCUUUAGAGUUGGGCGAAGCAAGAAAAGAAGUUCGAACGAAAAGUAGGAAAGUGUAGAAUUUUAUUUUUGGAAAUCGUCAUUAGUGGUAUAGUGGAUACUGUGUGUCACAUAUGUGUGCGGUAUCAUCCAACUCGGUUCGAGGCGUGUAUUAAAAAUACCACAGCUUGCUUUGGUACAGUACAUGCCAUAGGCUACUAAAAGUGUGAACCGAGAGUAAGUCUCGUUACUUCAAGGAAACGUGAAAAUAGCCAACUCAAAGAAUAGUAGCAGCAGCAGCAGAAGAUUUGUGUGAAAAUUCGUCAAGAGAUUUUAUGUAAUACGAUAACAGUGCUCGUGGCGUGGCUUUAAAAACGCACAGUGACGAAAUUCGAAUUGUUCACGUUUAAAAGCAAUUUUACUUUAUGCUCGUGCAGCUUGUGGUUAAGCUGAAGGUAGACAACGUAAUAUAUUCAACAUUAUUGAACACGAACGACGGCGGCGAAGUUUCCACACAAUUGGAGUCACACAGAGCUUCACCGUUGCAUGAUUCGCAAAUCAUGCGUAGAAUACACAAAGCAUGUAAAAAUUAAGGAAUUAAUUACGACUGUGAAGGAGUUUGCUUCCAUUUCAUUGGAUAAUCGAUCAGAGUGAGUUGAGCAGAACACCAAACCAAACUCCAUCAACCAUCGUCACCUUAGCGUGUAACGAGACUUCCCAGUAGCCAAACAGCAUACCCUACGCAGAGAUGGUGAUAGGAGAAGCGACGAACAAUGGGGAGGCUGUGCCUCCCCCGCAGCAGUUCGCUCCUCAGAAGGCAACCAUUGAGAAUAUAAUGAGCGGAAUUGAAAAUACCGGUACGGUGAAAAUGAAUAAUCACAGGAAAAAACUGAGACAACGAUUUGAUAUAAUUAAAAAGCUCGGCCAGGGUACGUACGGCAAGGUGCAAUUAGGUAUUAAUAAGGAAACCGGCCAAGAGGUCGCCAUUAAAACCAUCAAAAAGAGCAAAAUCGAAACCGAAGCGGACCUAAUUCGGAUACGAAGGGAAGUGCAAAUUAUGAGCUCGGUGCAGCACCCCAACAUUAUACAUAUUUACGAAGUCUUCGAAAACCGCGAAAAGAUGGUCCUAGUGAUGGAAUUCGCUGCUGGUGGCGAACUGUACGACUAUCUGUCGGAGCGCAAAGUGCUCUCAGAGGAGGAAGCGCGACGAAUCUUUCGCCAGGUCGCGACCGCCAUCUACUACUGUCACAAGCACAAAAUCUGUCAUCGUGAUCUUAAGUUAGAAAACAUACUCCUGGAUGAGAAUGGCCACGCCAAAAUUGCUGACUUUGGCCUCUCCAACGUAUUUGAUGAGCAAAGACUGCUGGCAACGUUCUGCGGGUCCCCGCUGUACGCGUCGCCGGAAAUUGUUAAAGGUACACCCUAUCUAGGACCAGAAGUAGAUUGCUGGUCCCUGGGUGUGUUGUUGUAUACUCUAGUCUACGGUGCAAUGCCAUUUGAUGGUGCCAACUUUAAAAGGCUUGUGAAGCAAAUUAGUCAAGGUGAUUACUUCGAACCGAAAAAGCCAUCGCGGGCGUCUCCGUUGAUUCGGGAAAUGUUGACUGUUUGUCCACAACGGAGAGCGAAUAUAGAGCAAAUAUGUAAUCACUGGUGGGUAAACGAGGGCUACGAAGGGUCAUGUCUAGAUCUAGCAGAAGAACUAGCGAACCAAACGCCUGUGCGGUUAGACGUGCUGCUUUCGCUCGCUCCACCAUCCGUUACUUCCGACCAAGUUGUUGUGGGGAGUGGUCAAGACGACGCUAAACCAAAGGAAAGAAUACAACGAAGUCACUCCGUUGGUUCUAUCAUUGACAUUGGUGCCACUGAAGCUGAACGACGAAUAUUGGACAUGGUGGCAGCCGGUGGUGAAGCUGCGCUAAUGCCUUCUCCAACCCGCACCAUUACACCCUCAGAGAGUAGUCCUGCACAGCCCAAACGGAAACUUGAACCAACUGUAUCUACUGAAAAUGCAACUGGAGCCGUUAAGAAAAAAGAAAAGGCUUCUGAUAGACUCAAACCAGAUAAAUCUCAACCUGUGAUUCCUGAAGAUAUGGACGUUGAACUGUCACCAUCACGCCCAAGCUCAACCUCUGAAAUUGAGACACUUAAAUCCGGAGUGGAAACUCCCGACCAAGAGUCCACUCCGAGCACGCCGAUCGCAGCUCAGGAUGUUCUUGAAGAUUUGCAAAAUCUUGAGAAUAUGUGCGAUGAACUACUGCAAGAAACUGCCACUCCACCUACUUCUAAAGCAACCACACCAGAGGAUACUCCAACGGCAGUCAACGAUGCUCAACCAGCUACCCCACCGACGCCAAAGGUCGAAUCGCCUCCUAAAACAGUUUCCGGCGUCAAAGCCAGACUGGAGAAACUCGAAAAGGCUGAUAAACAACCCGAAAAGGUUCCAUAUAAAAAAGUAUUUAGUAAAAACAAAACCGUUGAUCUUACCUCGGCAAUAAAUCAAGUAUCGAAGCAGGAUCAAGAAUUCGCUCAAGUCAAAUCGGCUUCCAACUUGGAACGCAAAAACAGUCUUCCAGAAGAAAACCUUGCCAAACCGGCUGAGCGACGAAAGUCGCGCAUUUUGGAAACCGCUGAGAAAUUCCAAAAUAUGAACAAUCAAAACAAUGACAAGUUCAAGAAGUUCUCCCUUCCUGGAACGCCGACCGUCGGAAACUACAAAAAGGAAUUUGAGCGAAAGGCUUCCAUGAACAAUUCUGCUUCCUCAUUCAGGCCAUCUCCCUAUGAGAUGACAAAAAUGAUGGAAUCGGAGUUGAAUUCUCCAGACCAAAGUCGCCAGAGCAGCGGAGCGGAUCUACGCACUCCACUUUCGCCUAGUGAUGAAAAGAUUGGCACACGUGAUGCCAAGCUGGAGUCGGAAGAAGUCAAAGAGAGUGAUUCUAAAAGCUCUGUCAGUAGCUUCUCACUUGAAGAGGCCAGGCGAUCCAUGGAAAAUUCGAUCGCCCUUCUUAGCAAAGUGCGCCCCGAAGCCAACGCGGUCGAUCAAUUGUGUGCCAAGACGGAAACGGUUUCCGUUUCCGAUAAUAACGAGAGGGAACAAAAACUGAAGAAUGCCAGGGAAAUCAUUGGUAACGCGAUUCCCAUUGGACGAUUGCGGAAACCACCGAUGCCAUUCGGGGCCAACGGGCGUUCAUCUACAGGAGGAAUUGGGCUUACUAACUCUCAGUCUAGUAAACAGUUCCGCUUUGGGCCGGAUACUCCGGAGCCCAAGUUUGACACCAUGUCAGUGCCUAGAAAAGUGUCGGCUGGAAACAUCUCUUCGGCGCCGAUGGAUGAGACUAAAACAUCACACGCUGAAAUCACGCUCAAGUCUGCAACGCUACCGAGGAGGAAAAUCGGCAAAGUCGACAUCCAUGGAGAAACGCAACCAAAGGCUGAAUCAUCGAUACCGGCAGCGCAACCGUCGUCUAUGCGAUUCUCCACCGAGAUGCAACAUCAAAUACCGGACCUUCGCAGUGCACCGAUUCGAGAGCAUCCGAUUUCAUUUACCGUGCAUCAGCGUGCCAACAGCCUUGAACCGCAGGUCAAGGAGCACACCAUCGCAAUACAGAGGCCACCCACAUACCAGCGCACCACUUCGAAUGCAUUUGGCUCAUCGCGAGGCUCUCUUUCCCGUCAGUCCACCAACGAGUCGAACGAUUCGGACACGACAGCAUCCCAGAGCCAAAUUCCGCCUCUGCCAAACAGUGGAUCUACGAUGCCCAUCAAAAAGAGUCCACGCGAGUUUAUAAUUCCCAUAGCAGUGGAAGGCGGUGGAUUCAUUCAGCCACGUGCCAACAGCCUGGAGCCAUCGGAAUCGAGCACAACGACCACCUCUACAGGGUUAGGUUCGAGGGCACGACUGGGACGAACACGCAAGAUUGGCUCCCUUCUGAGCGAAAAAGAUCCUGAGGAAGAAUCAUCAUUCUCAAGACUCAAUCGCCAUACAUCGUUGGGACGUGAAAGUGACUCCGAAGAGCCGCGUUUCCAUACAAUGCACAGGCUGAGGAGCUCCCGUCCGUCCCAACGCAGUACGGUGGAACCUAACGAUUCGGCCAGCUCCGGGGAGGAAGACGACGACGAUGGCUUUGAAAUCUUGACCGCCGAAAAUCUUUUCUCCACAUUGCUAUCCAGGGUUCGUGCACUUACAAAUCGGCUCAACGUUAAUGAACCGAGUUCUACCGGUUUUCCUUCGUCUCGCUUCAUGAGCGGCCUGAGACAAACGCAGCCCUCCUUCUGGCACCAUCAUGAUCCAUUUUCGAGUCGACUGAACGGAGGAAAUUCCAACGCCUGGCGGCACAGCAUGACUCGUGAUCUCAGCUCGGACAUCGAUUCCCUGUUCUCGCGCUCGGGCGCGACCCUUCCCAGAGGAGCUAAAUACCGAUCACAGUACAAUAAUAACAACAAUUUUGAUGUAGCUCAUAACAAAUCCGAUGGUUUGAGUCGCAAUAACAAUAGCAACAAUAAUAAUCUGUCAUCCGUAAUACCAUCGUCCUUUAGAAACAGUAGCAGCAGUAGAAAUGACUUAUAUCAAAAUAGUUACGGAAUCAGUAACAAUAGCAAUAUGAUUAACAAUAACUGUUCUAACUUUGAUAAGCAAAGCAAUACGGAGACACUGUACGAAAAUGGCGAAGAAGUACUAGAUUUGGGCGAUCUGGAUUUGUCGCAACUAAGAUUGUCGAAGAAAGACCUCGAGGCCCUGUCUAGUAUCACACCUUCGUUAUCGCAACGCGUACAGGAGCAACUCUUUGCUCAGCUUCCGCCACAGCAAGCCAAGAAGCUUUCCAGAACUUUAUCAAUGCAAAACGGAAAUACUAUGUCGAACCCUUAUUCAACUACUACCAAAUUAUAUAAACGCAGUUCAAGCAGCAGCGCAGGACGCACUGAAGAAGAUUCUAGAGACAGUAUUACACCCACUAAUGAUAUGUUCGACAGUGAUGCCUACCUUCAGAAACGGUCGUCGAAGAAGCUAGAUCGAAGCUCACGCAGUUCCAGUAACUCCCGAGACAUCGUAUCUCCUCCUCCACUUCCUCCACCUAACUUCAUUGACGAUUACGGGACAUCCUCAUCAUCUCGUUUCCCAUAUGCAAACGAGAGUCAUGAACGAAUCCGAUCAUACGAGAAGUACACACCCUAUGGAACGAACGCACAAACCGAUUCGGAACACGAAAGAAGUAAAUCGCUUGAAUAUGACAAGAAGUUCAGCUGCUACGAACCACUCCCUCCGCGCACAUCAUGUCUAAGCCCGACAACCGAGGGCUAUGGGCGACCGCCCAUCGGUUGCAUUUCUCCCCCUCCCAUAUCUGCGUCCUCUGGAUACUCCAGUCAACGAUCAACAAGACGGAUUUCCAGAUUUCUGCGUCCGGACUUUUUUGAUCCACCAAAAGAAUCCAGCGACCAGGAGAAGCUCAAGAAAGAACAAGAAACCCAAAAUAUAUUGAGAGAAAUACGAGAAAAAAGCCGUGAAAGAAGUAUAGAUUGUAGCUUCACUCCAGAAUAUUCGGAUAAAGGAUCCGAUCGAUUAAAUUACUUCAUACAGAAAUAUCACAAAGACCACACUACGGAGAAUAGCAGGCACAAUAGUAACGAACGAAACGAAGUUUUGGACCAAUCCAGAGACAUUAAUGAACAACGAAAUCGAAGAAGUUUAUCCAGACCACGAGAAAUUAUUGAUUCUAGUAAUGUUGUUUUAGAUAAAAUUACUGAAAAUACUACAUUCGCAGACAAAAUAAUCGACGAACUACAAAAUAUGGCCGCAAUACAGACUGUUCUGAAUGCGACUCAGGAAGUAGCACCAAGGAGAAGCAAAAGCAGAGAGCUGAUUGCGGACAGCGUUGCUCUACCAGAGAUCAUCAAACGAGCAACCCCAGAGCGCAGUUCAACUACCAACUGUUCCGAGUGUAGCGUCAGUCCUCCGAAGUUGGAAAAUGAAGACAGUUCGAUAACCGAAAGUAUUCCUGUUGCUGAUGAGCCAGUUACCGACCCUAUUACCACUCCUAAAGUUGUCAAGAUAAAAAAGGUUAAAACGAGACCGAAACUAGAUGCCGAUGGCAACCCGGUGACAAUAACUGUAAGAAGAGUGAGGAGAGUGAAUAAAGCUACUGGUGAAGUGAUAUCUACAACGUUAGUAGAUGAUGUUCGCGAUGAUGACAAAACACCAACUGAGAAAACACGAGUUGUGAAAAAGGAAUCCAAGUUGAUUAGACCAAAAUCCUACCCAUCCAAAGAUCCGGAACCGCAGAGCUCAACAAAACCACUCGUGAACGAUUCAGGGCCGUCGGACCUUGCGAUAGCAAUCCCAUCAAAUGAAUCUGACCCAUCAGCUUGCAGUACCCCAUCCAACACAGUCUCCGUCGUAGCACCAGUUAGUAAAAUAGCUCGACCAAAAAGUUUCCCAUCAUCGAAAUUAACCCCACCAAAAGAGAUAAAGCUUGGUAAGAAUUCUAUCGAAGCUCAACCGUUAAGAGCCAUUUCGGAGAAUCCCGAGCCUAGCAAGGACUACUCGUCGUCACAAGUUGCAUCCAAGGAGAAGACACCUCCAAAAGCAGCCACUGUUAAUGGUUCAGUUACAAAUGAAAGCACUACUCCUGCGACGACUCCAGGAACAACCAAGAAGGUGCGCAAAGUUAUUCGAAUUGUUAAGAAAUCAACAGUAUCGAAAAGUGACUCGUCCACUAAAAGCAGUAGCGAAGAGAAAGCAAUCAAAGAGCCAACAAUCACCAAGACCAUUGCUGCUGAAAGCAAAGAAACAAAAGAGGUUAAAGUUAAACGGGUAGAAAUAGUAUCCCCCGAGCCGAUUCAAAAGGUACCGAAGGAAAAAUCAAAAUCUCCCGAGAAGAAAGUUAAACAAGGAUUCCUCGCCAGUAUUGGGCAGAAAUUCGAGAAAUUCAGAGAAUCCAGCAAAAUGACAAAGGAGAAGAAACCCACGAUUUCAGAAGACAAAGAUAAUGUAUUGGCUAAAAAUGUAAGUCAAGAAGAUGCUGAUCCAACAGUGGAAACGAACAAUAAAGAAAAGAAGAAGAGUCGAAGUGUCACAAAUGCAGCGUAUCUUCCUGACGAUGCCCCAGUUAGUGAGGAGAAGAGUUCACGAAAAUCUAGAAUAGAUAAGGUGAUCAGGAAUCUAAGGGAAUUAUCAGUGCCACGGGCGCCUUUAUUGACCGAAUCGAAUCUGGUCAAGCGUGCCGUCAGCGUGGAAGAAAUGCCUGGAACAUUCAACAAGUGCAGCGUUAACAAGGUAUUAGGAUUUUUUAAGAAAGUUGAGAAGGAUAGCAAAACUAAUCGAGUUCUAAAUACAAAGUCGUCUAGUCACAUCAGCACAAUGGAUACCGCCGACACCUUGAGUGCCCUGGAAUCAGUCAUUGCGAAGCGGGAUAGUCUAAUGACGUCAGUGGAGGAACAAACAAAAGAGAGACCGAAGUCUGGAAGUUUCGUUAGCAAAAUUCAGAAACCGUACAUUGGAGCGCGAAGCGAUACUGUGCUCACUAUGACGGAGCAAGAGUGUAAGUCCAAUACUAUGGUGCCGGUAAAACAGAACGGUGGCUACCAAACGAAUAUCCCUGUUAAGUAUAAUUGUCCAGACUGUAACAAAGAAGACUUUAACAAAGAUGUAUCAAAACGACAUUCCUCCGCUUUGACUGAUGCGAAAAAUCACUCACAGAUCGAGAAAGAACGCACCAGGAAUAGCCGCCGAGCGCUGACACUGGACUUUGGCAAGCUCGGCGAAAGCCGUCAUGUUCAAAGCAAUAACAACAACUACAGUUAUCCACCCCCAUUACCCAGUGAUGUUCUGCAAAACAGCAAUCAUGUUACCACCACAAACAACAACAACACUAUGAAUAUGAACAUGCUUACACCAUCAUACGACAGCAUCACCAAUUACUCUUCGGGAUCGAGAAGUAGUCCAUACGACGAUUGCAACUCUUCCAGCACAUUCAUGUCUCCAUCUGAAGAACACGAACUCUACUUUGAUAACUGGUCGGUCUGUUCGGAUGACCACAACAACACGCUUAGCGCUUCGCCAUCCGUAUCGCGAUUGUCGAGGCUAACAUAUGUGAACUCUGUCUCUCCGGUAGAUAACGAUUCUGAGAGUGUUAUUGAACGGAUACGUCGGAAAAGUUUCUACACCCGUUUCAAUGAGCAAAAACCUCGCCGAGUAAGCACUAUUCUAGCGCCGAGCAGCUCUAAGGAGUACUACCGCGAUCAGUCUCUUUCCAGAGGUGGCCCAUCGUCCACUCGUUUGAAAGAGUAUGGUAAGUCAUCGUCGUCAUCAGUUGGGAGCGCUUUGACAAGUGUCGAGCGUUCCAAGAACAACUACGACUACUACCACUCGCUUACCAGGACGCCGAGUUCUUCCAAGAACAAGUAUGCGGACUCUACCGACGAGUAUUCAAAAUCUUCGUUAAACAACAGUGACUACUAUCAUCAUCAUCACCACCAUCACCACUGCCAUCUUCCUUUGUCUAACUCGUCACGGAAACUCAAUUUUUCCAGUAACGACUCUUCCGAUAACCUGAAUUAUAACACUGUCGGUAAAUCCUCAUUAAGAAGUACAUACUACGAAACCUCGUCACCACCAUAUUAUGCCACAUACAAUCCUCGACGGCGCUCCUCGUUCACCAGCAAUAGCACAACAGCUAAUCUAACCUCGUCCUCUUCAUCGAUAGCAUUAGACACUGCCAAUACCGGGAAAGAAACACGCGAUACUGUGCAGAAGACCGCAUCAAUGGUAACACCGGCCGGGCUACCCUGUAGUGGUACGGCAACCAAUUCUUCAUCUUCUACCACAAUCUCGACAUCGGCAGGCUUACCCAGCCAUGGGAGCAGCAGUUCACGGAAACUAAGACCCUACGAUAACCGGAGCAUUUCUAUGCUUAAUUCUGCCUCCUUUAAGGAGUCGCGACACGGCGGUUACGACAGUGCAGGGAUUAUCAGAAACAUAUCUUCUUUCUUGAAACGCUUGUUUGGGUCCAAAAUCAAAACCAGUGAAAACCGCUUUAGCCCCGUCCGUUCCACUCUCUACAAGGACCAACUCCUUUGCUUAAAGCUCAAAAGCAAUUAACAGUGCCAAUUGCUUAAUCCCUCCUUCAAACCGCCGACCCGAUCACAACCUAACGUCAAGAAAUGGUCGUUUCAGAAACUCGUCAAUACCUCGGAACCCCACCAACAACGUAUGAUUGUCAGUGAACGAUGACUGCGAUAUUUACCAAUAUUUCUAGCGAUUGCCCAUUUGAAGCCCAAAUCAGAAGCAAUCCGUAUAUGUAACUAGGUGUAAAAAAAUGUUUAAAAAACCAAAACCAUAAUUAUAGGGACUAGCAUUUUAAUGUUUAAAAAUAGUAGUCGAGUUACUUUCCAACGCCAAAAAUGGACGCAGAAGAUCAAUGAAUGAAACCAUCAAGCUUAUGAAGAGAGAGAUGAACAAGACAGAAUGGAUUUUGUACAUUUAUUUUAUCUUUUAAAUGAUUGAGAACGAAUCCCAUUUUAGAAGAAAAAACUAUUGCGUCUGUAUAGAGAAAGAAAUUAUUUUGCAUCAAAUUAUUGAAAGAGUACAUCGAGCGUUGAAAAAAAAACAAUAAAUUGUCAUCCAUGUUUAAACAAUUGUUUAAUUC
Armigeres subalbatus is the source of this 10484-nucleotide RNA transcript. RefSeq lists it as uncharacterized. The record is from RefSeq and is a predicted model, not a curated record. NCBI's taxonomy places the organism in Eukaryota, Metazoa, Arthropoda, Insecta, Diptera, Culicidae. The transcript is spliced from 14 exons.